UGAUAGCGUUGAAGCGUGAGGUUGCUGCAGAGCAUUGCAGGUUUUCCGUGGAGCGAAUGUCAAGUUAGGAAACUGGCGACAA
This is a regulatory RNA element of Roseburia hominis A2-183, 82 nucleotides long. It matches the Rfam family "S10-Clostridia ribosomal protein leader". NCBI's taxonomy places the organism in Bacteria, Bacillati, Bacillota, Clostridia, Lachnospirales, Lachnospiraceae. The record is from Rfam.